AUAGAAAUGGGGGGGGGAUUAACAAUUCAGGGGGGCUAAUAAUUAUGACUUCAACUGUAUAUUCUCUUCCCUAAACAUGUCAUUUCUUGUAUUAGUUGAUUUGUUUUGAUUCUUUUACAAGCUUUAAGAAAACAUUUUGUACAAUUAAGGAUGUAAUUUUCCCUAUAAUGACCCUUGCUGCUGAAAUAUGCAACAGAAACAGAUAAAAAUCAAAUAAAGCAAAAUGGAAUAAAAUAAAAAAUAAACGUUACAGUGUUGUAGACGUUUACAUUAGACAAAAUCAAUUGUAACACUAAUUUAAAUAAAACCUAAAUUAAUAAUCUGACAUAUUUAUAUUGGUCUUCUACAUAAAUAUGAAACCAAACAAUAUUGGUGCUCACAUUUACCGUGAUGAUUACCACAGUGACAUUUUUUUUUUGUUUAUCAAUGAUAUUUUUUGUUCUAAUACGCCAUAAACAGCUGUUUCAACACUAGGUUUUAUUUCUAAAUUAAAGACAUCAUUCGGUGUUUUAAAUAUUUGUGUCCAAUAGUCACUCAAGUUUUGACAAGCCCAGGCCAGAACAUAUGGAGAAAGUCUGCCUGUCACUUUUACAUCGAUCACACAAUUCAUCAAUAUCAGGAUAUAUUUGUGAGAGUCUUAGUGUAGUAGGUACGAAGUCCAUGUUUAUCUCGAAUAUUUAUGUAGUAUUUCCGUUUCGAAACUACAAGAAGCUUCAGACGUUUCAUUCGCGUUAUUGUUAACGUUAGCAGAAUUAGCCUUUGCCUAAUUCUAGCGGUUACGCUGUACUGAAACCCCUGGAAAAAAGUGCCUGCCUUCCCCAAAGACACACUUCUGUUGUUCUCGUGUUGUACUUUCUUUUCUCUGAUUUUUGUCACAGACACAAAACAGUCUAGUAAGUAUUUAUAUAAUAAUCUUUUCUUGAAAAGAAUAAGAGCUUCAAGCUUUCAAAAUAUACCACCAGCAGCGUGCGCUAUUAUAGUUGUCAGAGCACAUCCAUUCACCUGUUGCUAGGGCGCCAUCUUGGACGCAGCUUUCUUCAGCGCUCGUCAUGACUUCAUUGUCAGGCAGUGACGUCUCGUUCUAAACAUUCCAUCAUCAUUCUUAUAAAGCUCUCGUGCUUUCUCUCAGUGUUGUCAGUUGUCAAGGUGUUGCUGUUUGUACUUGACCUAGGUGAGUUCAAUACCGACGGUACGAGUGGAGCCACGCCAAUCUCACUAAGUCCGCUUCGUGAAGCUUCACUCGGGCCGUCUGUGCUGUAGUUCCUCGCGGUUUGCGUACAUAAACGCAACAUCGCGAGGAAUAUUAAGUGUUUGUUGCUCGAAAUGAGCCGCCGAGCAACAUUCCGGGCAUCCGGCACGGACUGGUGCCCGGUCAGCUCGUGCACUCCCUUGGGUGAGGCAGCUCGAGCUCGAGCUCGUGUACCCAAGGUAGGGCGCAAAACGGGCUGUGAGGACCCUCAAGGAAACAAGGGAGGCCGGUAGUGGGACCUGCUGCUAGGAAAGCCAGGGCUGUUGAGCAAAAAAGCCCUCAGAACAACACGCUCAAGACAACUGCGAUAUGUGCAUGCAUGUAUUGAUAAUGGUUUCUCCAUUCUUCUUUUUCCGGUUUGUUGUUUUCAGAUGAUUUUGCAAAUCAAACAGAAUAAAGUUCUCUUUCACAAUA
This is a non-coding RNA of Danio rerio (zebrafish), 1663 nucleotides long. The record is from RefSeq and is a predicted model, not a curated record. Lineage: Eukaryota; Metazoa; Chordata; Actinopteri; Cypriniformes; Danionidae.